GCGAGCGCGCUGCAUCUCCCCGCGUGAUCCCCCGGUGCCCUGCAGGGCCCACAGGCCUCCCGUGGGAAGUAGUCUCCCACCUUCUCCCAGGAACAUUCCUGAGAGCAGUUGACUCCCUGUUGAUCAGGUCAGGGCACGCCAAGGGGCUUAAAAAACCGCGAAACAGGCUAGCGCCUACUUUCCACGUCUCCCGGCAAAACCAGCCCUGCCUCCCCAGCCCCUUCUCUGCCAGUCGCGAGAUCCUCGAUGCAGACUAGGGAACUGGCCCCCAAACCGAGCAGACUACAGGCUCCAGAGACUAAGGUCAGAUUGUCAUGCUCCUGAUGAGACCCGGAGCUCAGGAAAUUUGAGAGACUGAGCCAGCACUGCAGACUGGAGGAAGUGGACAAAUCAGGAUUUGAGCUCUCGUGUGUCUGACUGGCUUUCUCAGUCUACCGAUGACCUUGUUGGAUUUUGCUCCGUGGACCACCGUACUCUCUGGCUUUGUGCCCACUCAACAGGCUGAGGAGGGUACAGAUUCCUAUCUUUUGCCCUAAAAAAAAAAAAAAA
This is a non-coding RNA of Heterocephalus glaber (naked mole-rat), 549 nucleotides long. NCBI's taxonomy places the organism in Eukaryota, Metazoa, Chordata, Mammalia, Rodentia, Bathyergidae. The record is from RefSeq and is a predicted model, not a curated record.